GAUACCCCUGUAGUCCUGGCCGUAAACGAUGAACACUAGGUGUCGGGGGAAUCGACCCCCUCGGUGUCGUAGCCAACGCGUUAAGUGUUCCGCCUGGGGAGUACGCACGCAAGUGUGAAACUCAAAGGAAUUGACGGGGGCCCGCACAAGCGGUGGAGUAUGUGGUUUAAUUCGAUGCAACGCGAAGAACCUUACCAGGGUUUGGCAUCCUGCGAAUCCCUUGGAAACUUGGGAGUGCCUUCGGGAGCGCAGUGACAGGUGGUGCAUGGCUGUCGUCAGCUCGUGUCGUGAGAUGUUGGGUUAAGUCCCGCAACGAGCGCAACCCACGUCUUUAGUUGCCAGCAUUUAGUUGGGCACUCUAGAGAGACUGCCGGUGAUAAACCGGAGGAAGGUGUGGAUGACGUCAAGUCAUCAUGCCCCUUACAUCCUGGGCUACACACGUACUACAAUGCUACGGACAAAGGGCAGCAAACUCGCGAGAGCUAGCAAAUCCCAUAAACCGUGGCUCAGUUCAGAUCGUAGGCUGCAACUCGCCUACGUGAAGGAGGAAUCGCUAGUAAUCGCAGGUCAGCAUACUGCGGUGAAUACGUUCCCGGGCCUUGUACACACCGCCCGUCACACCAUGGAAGUUGGCCACGCCCGAAGUCGUUACUCCAACCCUUGUGGAGGAGGAUGCCGAAGGUGGGGCUGAUGACUGGGGUGAAGUCGUAACAAGGUAGCCGUACCGGAAGGUGC
RNAcentral lists this ribosomal RNA (735 nucleotides) under uncultured Synechococcus sp. Its description in RNAcentral is "bacterial SSU rRNA". It matches the Rfam family "Bacterial small subunit ribosomal RNA", at positions 781 to 1515 of the family's 1533-position model. The record is from RNAcentral. Lineage: Bacteria; Bacillati; Cyanobacteriota; Cyanophyceae; Synechococcales; Synechococcaceae.